RNAcentral lists this ribosomal RNA (427 nucleotides) under uncultured bacterium. Its description in RNAcentral is "partial 16S ribosomal RNA". It matches the Rfam family "Bacterial small subunit ribosomal RNA", at positions 355 to 774 of the family's 1533-position model. The record is from RNAcentral.
UGGGGAAUAUUGCACAAUGGGCGCAAGCCUGAUGCAGCCAUGCCGCGUGUGUGAAGAAGGCCUUCGGGUUGUAAAGCACUUUCAGCGAGGAGGAAGGGUAGUGUGUUAAUAGCACAUUGCAUUGACGUUACUCGCAGAAGAAGCACCGGCUAACUCCGUGCCAGCAGCCGAGGUAAUACGGAGGGUGCAAGCGUUAAUCGGAAUUACUGGGCGUAAAGCGCACGCAGGCGGUUUGUUAAGUCAGAUGUGAAAUCCCCGCGCUUAACGUGGGAACUGCAUUUGAAACUGGCAAGCUAGAGUCUUGUAGAGGGGGGUAGAAUUCCAGGUGUAGCGGUGAAAUGCGUAGAGAUCUGGAGGAAUACCGGUGGCGAAGGCGGCCCCCUGGACAAAGACUGACGCUCAGGUGCGAAAGCGUGGGGAGCAAACA